AUACUCCCUCGUACCAAGAACGAUAGAAGGGGUAAUGAGGUUGAAAAUAAAGAAAUGAAUAGGAUGAUCAUAGAACUUCUUUUGGGGUGUAAUCUGAGGACGGUGACGAUUUUUUUUCCCCGUGUUCAGGGCGGAGGUCAUGAGGAAGUCUAGAGGAGCACUUUUCCCGGAAGAUAAAAUCUGCAAAUGGCUGACUCAUCUAUUGUUAGCUUUGGAGCAUCUGCAUUCCAACCACGUUCAUCAUAGAGACCUCAAGUUAUGUAACAUAUUCAUCACAAAGGACAACGACAUCGGGUUAGGUAAGAAUGCCCGAACAAUUGCUUGAUUGGGUAGUCUUUGCUUCUUUACUAUCCUUCAAAUUCACUUGAUUGU
This is a long non-coding RNA of Capsicum annuum, 372 nucleotides long. RefSeq lists it as uncharacterized. The record is from RefSeq and is a predicted model, not a curated record. The transcript has 3 exons. NCBI's taxonomy places the organism in Eukaryota, Viridiplantae, Streptophyta, Magnoliopsida, Solanales, Solanaceae.